RNAcentral lists this unclassified non-coding RNA (309 nucleotides) under uncultured Penicillium. RNAcentral describes it as "sequence contains ITS1". The stretch from base 1 to 105 matches the Rfam family "5.8S ribosomal RNA", at positions 50 to 154 of the family's 154-position model. Lineage: Eukaryota; Fungi; Ascomycota; Eurotiomycetes; Eurotiales; Aspergillaceae. The record is from RNAcentral.
GAAAUGCGAUAAGUAAUGUGAAUUGCAGAAUUCAGUGAAUCAUCGAGUCUUUGAACGCACAUUGCGCCCCCUGGUAUUCCGGGGGGCAUGCCUGUCCGAGCGUCAUUGCUGCCCUCAAGCCCGGCUUGUGUGUUGGGCCUCGUCCCCCGUUCUCGGGGGGCGGGCCCGAAAGGCAGCGGCGGCACCGUGUCCGGUCCUCGAGCGUAUGGGGCUUUGUCACUCGCUCUGUAGGCCCGGCCGGCGCCUGCCGAUCAACCACAUUCUUUCCAGGUUGACCUCGGAUCAGGUAGGGAUACCCGCUGAACUUAA